AAGUGUCUUGCUCAGGGACGCAUUGGGGGAUGUGUCACAGUGGGAAAUGAACCUGGGUCUUUCACACCAAAGGCAGGUGUCUUAUCCACUGCAACACUGCCACCCCAAACACAUAUUCUGUCUCUGUCUAGCUUGUCAAAACAAACUGACUUAAGGAAAAUGCUUCACUGUACUAAUCAGCAAUGUAAAUGGAGCUGAAUUAAGCUUUAUAGAGAGCCAUCUGUAUCUGUAACUCACUCGGUUUUCGCAUAAUGUCUUUCUUUAGUAACUCUUUUUGAAACAUGCUCCUGUAGUUUUAUUUCCGCAUUUGGCUAGUUGACCACUUUGGUCCAGAUCAAAAUAUCUGAACUGCUAUUGGAUGAAAUGGAAUAACUUUGUUGAUCACAAAAUUUCUUAGUGCCAUCAUCAGGUCAACAAAUACGUCCAAAACUUUUGGUUUUGCAGAUUUGGUUUAAGAUCCAAUGCCUGCAAAACUAGUGACAUUCCCAUCAGUCUCAGCUGUUCUUUGUUUUUAGUGCUAAGUGUUUAGUCUUGUUUCAUCAUUGCUGCCAAUAGCCCUGUGUAUAAUUAUGCUCCUUUUAUUUCCAUGGGCAGCUUCCAAGUGAGAUUUUGUGAAUGGAUGUGAAUACUCCCUCUCUACCUGCAACUCCAGCACUACGCCUUCAGGCUGCUGCUGUAAAUAGGAGUGAACGUAAAGAGUAAGAGAGAGUAAAGUUCACGAAGAACUGGGCAGGACCCAAAAAUACUGUUAAAGAGACAUGGGAUGAUAGUGCACCUACCGUGAUACCGCUUCUGGUCAUCGUUGGCCAGCAUCACGGCCAUCCUCAGGCCGAUACCGGAGGAACAGCCGGUGAUCAGCACCACUUUCUGUCCGGGACU
Micropterus salmoides (largemouth bass) is the source of this 879-nucleotide long non-coding RNA. RefSeq lists it as uncharacterized. NCBI's taxonomy places the organism in Eukaryota, Metazoa, Chordata, Actinopteri, Centrarchiformes, Centrarchidae. The record is from RefSeq and is a predicted model, not a curated record. The transcript is spliced from 3 exons.